This 292-nucleotide ribosomal RNA is filed under the name uncultured bacterium. RNAcentral's name for it is "partial 16S ribosomal RNA". It matches the Rfam family "Bacterial small subunit ribosomal RNA", at positions 505 to 796 of the family's 1533-position model. The record is from RNAcentral.
GUGUCAGCAGCCGCGGUAAUACGAAGGGUGCAAGCGUUAAUCGGAAUUACUGGGCGUAAAGCGUGCGUAGGCGGUUGGCUAAGUCAGAUGUGAAAGCCCUGGGCUCAACCUGGGAAUGGCAUUUGAAACUGGCCGGCUAGAGUGUGAUAGAGGAUGGCGGAAUUCCCGGUGUAGCGGUGAAAUGCGUAGAGAUCGGGAGGAACAUCCGUGGCGAAGGCGGCCAUCUGGAUCAACACUGACGCUGAGGCACGAAAGCGUGGGGAGCAAACAGGAUUAGAUACCCUGGUAGUCC